GACGAACGCUGGCGGCGUGCCUAAUACAUGCAAGUAGAACGCACAGUUUAUACCGUAGCUUGCUACACCAUAGACUGUGAGUUGCGAACGGGUUAGUAACGCGUAGGUAACCUGCCUGGUAGCGGGGGAUAACUAUUGGUAACGAUAGCUAAUACUGCAUAAUAUUAAUUAUUGCAUGAUAAUUAAUUGAAAGGUGCAAUUGCACCACUACCAGAUGGACCUGCGUUGUAUUAGCUAGUAGGGGAGGUAACGGCCCACCUAGGCGACGAUACAUAGCCGACCUGGGAGGGGACUCGGCCAAGCUGGGACGGGGACACGGCCCAGCACCCUACGGGAGGCAGCAGUAGGGGAUCUUUGGCAAUGGAAGCAAGUCUGACCGAGCAACGCCGCGUGAGUGAAGAAGGUUUUCGGAUCGUAAAGCUCUGUUGUAAGAGAAGAACGGGUGUGAGAGUGGAAAGUUCACACUGUGACGGUAUCUUACCAGAAAGGGACGGCUAACUACGUG
This 505-nucleotide ribosomal RNA is filed under the name uncultured bacterium. Its description in RNAcentral is "partial 16S ribosomal RNA". It matches the Rfam family "Bacterial small subunit ribosomal RNA", at positions 28 to 507 of the family's 1533-position model. The record is from RNAcentral.